RNAcentral lists this ribosomal RNA (2928 nucleotides) under Klebsiella oxytoca. Its description in RNAcentral is "23S ribosomal RNA". It matches the Rfam family "Bacterial large subunit ribosomal RNA". The record is from RNAcentral. Lineage: Bacteria; Pseudomonadati; Pseudomonadota; Gammaproteobacteria; Enterobacterales; Enterobacteriaceae.
GGGUUGUGAGGUUAAGCGACUAAGCGUACACGGUGGAUGCCCUGGCAGUCAGAGGCGAUGAAGGACGUGCUAAUCUGCGAAAAGCGUCGGUAAGGUGAUAUGAACCGUUAUAGCCGGCGAUGUCCGAAUGGGGAAACCCAGUGCAAUUCGUUGCACUAUCGUUUGAUGAAUACAUAGUCAAACGAGGCGAACCGGGGGAACUGAAACAUCUAAGUACCCCGAGGAAAAGAAAUCAACCGAGAUUCCCCCAGUAGCGGCGAGCGAACGGGGAGCAGCCCGGAGUCUGAAUCAGCUUGUGUGUUAGUGGAAGCGUCUGGAAAGUCGCAGGGUACAGGGUGAUACUCCCGUACACUAAAACGCACAGGUUGUGAACUCGAAGAGUAGGGCGGGACACGUGGUAUCCUGUCUGAAUAUGGGGGGACCAUCCUCCAAGGCUAAAUACUCCUGACUGACCGAUAGUGAACCAGUACCGUGAGGGAAAGGCGAAAAGAACCCCGGCGAGGGGAGUGAAAAAGAACCUGAAACCGUGUACGUACAAGCAGUAGGAGCCUCUUUAUGGGGUGACUGCGUACCUUUUGUAUAAUGGGUCAGCGACUUAUAUUCUGUAGCAAGGUUAACCGUAUAGGGGAGCCGCAGGGAAACCGAGUCUUAACUGGGCGUUAAGUUGCAGGGUAUAGACCCGAAACCCGGUGAUCUAGCCAUGGGCAGGUUGAAGGUUGGGUAACACUAACUGGAGGACCGAACCGACUAAUGUUGAAAAAUUAGCGGAUGACUUGUGGCUGGGGGUGAAAGGCCAAUCAAACCGGGAGAUAGCUGGUUCUCCCCGAAAGCUAUUUAGGUAGCGCCUCGUGAACUCAUCUUCGGGGGUAGAGCACUGUUUCGGCUAGGGGGUCAUCCCGACUUACCAACCCGAUGCAAACUACGAAUACCGAAGAAUGUUAUCACGGGAGACACACGGCGGGUGCUAACGUCCGUCGUGAAGAGGGAAACAACCCAGACCGCCAGCUAAGGUCCCAAAGUCAUGGUUAAGUGGGAAACGAUGUGGGAAGGCCCAGACAGCCAGGAUGUUGGCUUAGAAGCAGCCAUCAUUUAAAGAAAGCGUAAUAGCUCACUGGUCGAGUCGGCCUGCGCGGAAGAUGUAACGGGGCUAAACCAUGCACCGAAGCUGCGGCAGCGACACUAUGUGUUGUUGGGUAGGGGAGCGUUCUGUAAGCCGUUGAAGGUGGCCUGUGAGGGUUGCUGGAGGUAUCAGAAGUGCGAAUGCUGACAUAAGUAACGAUAAUGCGGGUGAAAAACCCGCACGCCGGAAGACCAAGGGUUCCUGUCCAACGUUAAUCGGGGCAGGGUGAGUCGACCCCUAAGGCGAGGCCGAAAGGCGUAGUCGAUGGGAAACAGGUUAAUAUUCCUGUACUCGGUGUUACUGCGAAGGGGGGACGGAGAAGGCUAUGUUGGCCGGGCGACGGUUGUCCCGGUUUAAGCAUGUAGGCGGAUGUUCCAGGUAAAUCCGGAACGUUAUCAACGCUGAGGUGUGAUGACGAGGCACUACGGUGCUGAAGUGACAAAUGCCCUGCUUCCAGGAAAAGCCUCUAAGCAUCAGGUAACAUCAAAUCGUACCCCAAACCGACACAGGUGGUCAGGUAGAGAAUACCAAGGCGCUUGAGAGAACUCGGGUGAAGGAACUAGGCAAAAUGGUGCCGUAACUUCGGGAGAAGGCACGCUGAUAUGUAGGUGAAGUGGUUUACCCAUGGAGCUGAAAUCAGUCGAAGAUACCAGCUGGCUGCAACUGUUUAUUAAAAACACAGCACUGUGCAAACACGAAAGUGGACGUAUACGGUGUGACGCCUGCCCGGUGCCGGAAGGUUAAUUGAUGGGGUUAUCCGUAAGGAGAAGCUCUUGAUCGAAGCCCCGGUAAACGGCGGCCGUAACUAUAACGGUCCUAAGGUAGCGAAAUUCCUUGUCGGGUAAGUUCCGACCUGCACGAAUGGCGUAAUGAUGGCCAGGCUGUCUCCACCCGAGACUCAGUGAAAUUGAACUCGCUGUGAAGAUGCAGUGUACCCGCGGCAAGACGGAAAGACCCCGUGAACCUUUACUAUAGCUUGACACUGAACACUGGUCCUUGAUGUGUAGGAUAGGUGGGAGGCUUUGAAGUGUGGACGCCAGUCUGCAUGGAGCCAUCCUUGAAAUACCACCCUUUAAUGGCUGGUGUUCUAACGUGGGCCCCUAAUCGGGGUUGCGGACAGUGUCUGGUGGGUAGUUUGACUGGGGCGGUCUCCUCCUAAAGAGUAACGGAGGAGCACGAAGGUCAGCUAAUCCUGGUCGGACAUCAGGAGGUUAGUGCAAUGGCAUAAGCUGGCUUGACUGCGAGCGUGACGGCGCGAGCAGGUGCGAAAGCAGGUCAUAGUGAUCCGGUGGUUCUGAAUGGAAGGGCCAUCGCUCAACGGAUAAAAGGUACUCCGGGGAUAACAGGCUGAUACCGCCCAAGAGUUCAUAUCGACGGCGGUGUUUGGCACCUCGAUGUCGGCUCAUCACAUCCUGGGGCUGAAGUAGGUCCCAAGGGUAUGGCUGUUCGCCAUUUAAAGUGGUACGCGAGCUGGGUUUAGAACGUCGUGAGACAGUUCGGUCCCUAUCUGCCGUGGGCGCUGGAGAAUUGAGGGGGGCUGCUCCUAGUACGAGAGGACCGGAGUGGACGCAUCACUGGUGUUCGGGUUGUCAUGCCAAUGGCAUUGCCCGGUAGCUAAAUGCGGAAGAGAUAAGUGCUGAAAGCAUCUAAGCACGAAACUUGCCCCGAGAUGAGUUCUCCCUGACCCUUUAAGGGUCCUGAAGGAACGUUGAAGACGACGACGUUGAUAGGCCGGGUGUGUAAGCGCAGCGAUGCGUUGAGCUAACCGGUACUAAUGAACCGUGAGGCUUAACCUUACAACGCCGAAG